RNAcentral lists this ribosomal RNA (492 nucleotides) under uncultured bacterium. Its description in RNAcentral is "partial 16S ribosomal RNA". It matches the Rfam family "Bacterial small subunit ribosomal RNA", at positions 29 to 507 of the family's 1533-position model. The record is from RNAcentral.
AGUGAACGCUGGCGGUAUGCCUAACACAUGCAAGUCGAACGGCAGCACAGUAAGAUCUUGCUCUUCCGGAUGGGGAGUGGCGGACGGGUGAGGAAUAUAUCGUAAUCUACUUUUUCGGGGAGGAUAACGUAGGUAAACCUACGCUCAUACCGCAUACGACCUACGGGUGAAAGCAGUGGAUCUUCGCACCUUGCGCGAUUGAAUGAGCCGAUGUCGGAUUAGCUAGUUGGCUGGUUAAAGGCCCACGCAGGCGAGGAUCCGUAGCUGGUCUGAGAGGAUGAUCGGCCACACUGGAACUGGGACACGGUCCAGACUACUACGGGAGGCAGCAGUGGGGAAUAUUGGGCAAUGGGCGGAAGCCUGAUCCAGCGAGAGCGAGUGGGUGAAGAAGGCCUUCGGGUUGUAAAGCCGUUUUGUUGGUAAAGAACAGCAGCAGGUUGAUACCCAGCUGUUCUGACGGUAACCAAAGAAUAAGCACCGGCUAACUUCGUG